CUUGGUCAUUUAGAGGAAGUAAAAGUCGUAACAAGGUUUCCGUAGGUGAACCUGCGGAAGGAUCAUUAUUGAAAUAAACCUGAUGGGUUGUUGCUGGCUCUCUAGGGAGCAUGUGCACACCUUGUCAUCUUUAUAUCUCCACCUGUGCACUUUUUGUAGACCUUUCAGGUCUAUGUUGCUUCAUUUACCCCAAUGUAUGUUAAUAGAAUGUUGUGCCUAUAUAAUAUAUACAACUUUCAGCAACGGAUCUCUUGGCUCUCGCAUCGAUGAAGAACGCAGCGAAAUGCGAUAAGUAAUGUGAAUUGCAGAAUUCAGUGAAUCAUCGAAUCUUUGAACGCACCUUGCGCUCCUUGGUAUUCCGAGGAGCAUGCCUGUUUGAGUGUCAUUAAUAUAUCAACCUUCUCUUUUUUGAGUUGUUUGGAUGUGGGGGUUUGCUGGCAUCUUAAAUGAUUCAGCUCCCCUGAAAUGCAUUAGCAGAACAAACCUGUUCAUUGGCGUGAUAAUUAUCUAUGCUAUUGAAUGUGAGGGCAGUUCAGCUUUCUAACCGUCCUUGGGCAAUUCAUCAUUAAUGUGACCUCAAAUCAGGUAGGACUACCCGCUGAACUUAAGCAUAUCAAUAAGCGGAGGA
RNAcentral lists this ribosomal RNA (628 nucleotides) under uncultured fungus. Its description in RNAcentral is "eukaryotic LSU rRNA". The stretch from base 232 to 385 matches the Rfam family "5.8S ribosomal RNA". The record is from RNAcentral. Lineage: Eukaryota; Fungi.